This is a long non-coding RNA of Delphinapterus leucas (beluga whale), 526 nucleotides long. RefSeq lists it as uncharacterized. The record is from RefSeq and is a predicted model, not a curated record. Lineage: Eukaryota; Metazoa; Chordata; Mammalia; Artiodactyla; Monodontidae.
GCUGACAAACUUGGAGUGGAAGGCGGAGAUCCAGGAGAGACCCACGGAAGCUGAGGCAGGAAGAUAUGUCGACAUGAAGAGCGUCAUCCCACGGGGCCAAAUGCGGCUGAGAGCCAAGGACGAUGGCCUGAAGUGGGGAGCGGAGAUGCGGUCACCAGAACCUGGAGAGAGUGCCCUGUGUGCUUAGAGCCACCUGAUAAGAGCUCUGACCAUGCGUCAAGGGACACAGCCCUCCUACAGGUAAAUGUGUGGGGAUGCGAUCCUAUACUUGGUAUGUGGCAUUAUUAUAUACACUCAAUAAAUAUUGCUUGAUUGAUGAUUGAAGGGCCCUUUUCUUCCUUGGAGGUCUCAGAACAUCCUGCAAGUGACACGUCCACUUGGUCCUUGGAAGCUGCAGCAGUUACUGUGGCUUACAAAGUUCUUGCUUCCUAUAUGGGAAAGGAAUCUGAAAAAGAAUGGAUAUAUGUAUAUUUAUAACUGAAUCAUUUUGCUGUAUACCUGAAACUAACACAACAUUGUAAAUCCA